GUAAAUGUUUUUAUAUGGGAAAAAAUCGCAAAAGAUUCUCCCGGAAGUACUACAAGUCCACUCAGCUUCCUGCUAAUAAUUCAUUUGACUUGGAUAGUGAUUUGGAUGUCCAAGGAGUCAUCAGGAGGAUUUAUUCUGCUAAACAGGACCUAAAAUCAUCGACAUACCUCUCAGACAGUUUCUCUGCACUACAGAGAGUUCAAGAAACGCAUCAACACUUGAAGGAAAUCAGUGAGAUUGUCUGCUUAGGACUCGGACACUUUUCCUGCUGCGCCUCGUCUCGAUAUCAGCUGGCAUUCAUUAGUUUGCUUCAGGAGCACUUCUGCAUCAGUGAUAUCCUCUUUCAAGAUCCUGCUUUCAGCCCUGGUGAAAUAGACAUCAUCAGAAGCCUCAAUUUCACAGUGAUUCCCGGCAAUUUGGAAGGGAAAUUGCACGUUGAUCCUGCCAAGAUCUACCUGUUCUAUCUGCCUCAUUGCCCAAAACAACUUACAAACAACCUCUUGUGGGAAAACUGGGGAAAGCAACUCGCCAAUAUUGUCCUCCUGAGCAACUCCUUCAGUGGAGUCUUGAUUUCUCAGCCGAAAAAGGCUCUUCAGAUCGACGCAGGGUUGAUUUUGAAAGCUGAAGACUUCACAGAAGAGAUUCCAUUGGAGAAUACCUUCACCUACUCGGACGUCUUCAACGACACUUCCAUCCACGUCUUUCCGAAGACUGUCAUAGCGGAGAAACCGGAGAGUUUUUGGGGAGAUAAAGGCUGUGCACCUGUUUAUUGUGAUCCAGAGUUCAUCACUGAAGCCCUAGGGAAAGUACAUUUGAAGGAUGGCGACUCCUGUGCAAACACUGAGAUCUCUGCUGAAUGAGCUGCGCCUGGCAAACCCGAACGGAAACAUAAAGAAUUCACUUGCAGCCAAAUACAUUUUGACGCAGUUCCGGAAGUACAAGACCACAGAUCAAACACUAUGCAA
RNA transcript from Phlebotomus argentipes, 965 nucleotides. It is a transcript of the gene named protein FMC1 homolog, with no coding region annotated. The transcript has 3 exons. NCBI's taxonomy places the organism in Eukaryota, Metazoa, Arthropoda, Insecta, Diptera, Psychodidae. The record is from RefSeq and is a predicted model, not a curated record.